This 83-nucleotide transfer RNA is filed under the name Nelumbo nucifera (sacred lotus). It matches the Rfam family "tRNA". Rfam says of the family: Transfer RNA (tRNA) molecules are approximately 80 nucleotides in length. Their secondary structure includes four short double-helical elements and three loops (D, anti-codon, and T loops). Further hydrogen bonds mediate the characteristic L-shaped molecular structure. tRNAs have two regions of fundamental functional importance: the anti-codon, which is responsible for specific mRNA codon recognition, and the 3' end, to which the tRNAs corresponding amino acid is attached (by aminoacyl-tRNA synthetases). tRNAs cope with the degeneracy of the genetic code in two manners: having more than one tRNA (with a specific anti-codon) for a particular amino acid; and 'wobble' base-pairing, i.e. permitting non-standard base-pairing at the 3rd anti-codon position. Lineage: Eukaryota; Viridiplantae; Streptophyta; Magnoliopsida; Proteales; Nelumbonaceae. The record is from Rfam by way of RNAcentral.
AGUCUAUUGACUCAAUUGGUUAGAGCAUUAUGUUAUUAGCAUGAAGAUUAUAGCCUUUGUAGGUUCAAGUCCUACAUAGGCUA